AGCAGUGGGGAAUUUUGCGCAAUGGGGGAAACCCUGACGCAGCAACGCCGCGUGGAGGAUGAAGUCUCUUGGGACGUAAACUCCUUUCGAUCGGGACGAUAAUGACGGUACCGAUAGAAGAAGCCCCGGCUAACUUCGUGCCAGCAGCCGCGGUAAUACGAGGGGGGCAAGCGUUGUUCGGAAUUAUUGGGCGUAAAGGGUGCGUAGGCGGUUUGGCAAGUUUCGUGUGAAAACUUCGGGCUCAACCCGAAGCCUGCACGGAAAACUGCCGGGCUUGAGUAUGGGAGAGGUGAGUGGAAUUUCCGGUGUAGCGGUGAAAUGCGUAGAUAUCGGAAGGAACACCUGUGGCGAAAGCGGCUCACUGGACCAUAACUGACGCUGAGG
This 384-nucleotide ribosomal RNA is filed under the name uncultured bacterium. RNAcentral describes it as "bacterial SSU rRNA". It matches the Rfam family "Bacterial small subunit ribosomal RNA", at positions 350 to 751 of the family's 1533-position model. The record is from RNAcentral.